RNAcentral lists this ribosomal RNA (514 nucleotides) under Puccinia tanaceti. Its description in RNAcentral is "eukaryotic LSU rRNA". It matches the Rfam family "Eukaryotic large subunit ribosomal RNA", at positions 89 to 602 of the family's 3401-position model. Lineage: Eukaryota; Fungi; Basidiomycota; Pucciniomycetes; Pucciniales; Pucciniaceae. The record is from RNAcentral.
GGGAAUGAAGAGGGAAAAGCCCCAAAUUUGUAAUCUGGCUCUUUAAGAGUCCGAGUUGUAAUUUUAAGAACUGUUUUCAGUGCUGGACCAUGUACAAGUCUUCUGAAAAGAAGCAUCAUAGAAGGUGAUAAUCCUGUUCAUGAUAUGGACUACCAGUGCAAUAUGAUGCAGUCUCUAAGAGUCGAGUUGUUUGGGAAUGCAGCUCAAAGUGGGUGGUAAAUUCCAUCUAAGGCUAAAUAUUGAUGAGAGACCGAUAGCAAACAAGUACCGUGAGGGAAAGAUGAAAAGAACUUUGGAAAGAGAGUUAACAGUACGUGAAAUUGUUAAAAGGGAAACAAUUGAAGUUAGACUUGUUAUUAAUAGUUCAACCUUUUUUUGUUAAAAGGAGUAUUCUAUUGAUUAACAGACCAACAUCAAUUUUUGGGUGUUGGAGAAGGGUUUAAGGAAAUGUAGCAGUUUUUGACUGUGUUAUAUUCCUUUUGAGCUUUGAUACAAUGCUUAAGAUUGAGGAAUG